UCGCGGCCUAUCAGCUUGUUGGUGGGGUAACGGCCCACCAAGGCAUCGACGGGUAGCUGGUCUGAGAGGACGAUCAGCCACACUGGGACUGAGACACGGCCCAGACUCCUACGGGAGGCAGCAGUGGGGAAUAUUGCGCAAUGGGCGAAAGCCUGACGCAGCAACGCCGCGUGGGGGAUGAAGGCCUUCGGGUUGUAAACCCCUUUCAGCAGGGACGAAAAUGACGGUACCUGCAGAAGAAGCCCCGGCCAACUACGUGCCAGCAGCCGCGGUAACACGUAGGGGGCAAGCGUUGUCCGGAUUUAUUGGGCGUAAAGAGCUCGUAGGCGGUUGCGUAAGUCGGAUGUGAAAACUCAGGGCUCAACCCGGAGACGCCAUCCGAUACUGCGCUGACUAGAGUCCGGUAGAGGAGCAUGGAAUUCCUGGUGUAGCGGUGAAAUGCGCAGAUAUCAGGAGGAACACCAGUGGCGAAGGCGGUGCUCUGGGCCGGUACUGACGCUGAGGAGCGAAAGCGUGGGUAGCGAACAGGAUUAGAUACCCUGGUAGUCCACGCCGUAAACGUUGGGCACUAGGUGUGGGGCCUCCUUAACGGGUUCCGUGCCGUAGCUAACGCAUUAAGUGCCCCGCCUGGGGAGUACGG
Molecule: ribosomal RNA, 640 nt
Filed under: uncultured Actinomycetes bacterium
Lineage: Bacteria; Bacillati; Actinomycetota; Actinomycetes
Description: bacterial SSU rRNA
Rfam family: Bacterial small subunit ribosomal RNA
Source: RNAcentral